RNAcentral lists this long non-coding RNA (462 nucleotides) under Struthio camelus australis. RNAcentral describes it as "lncRNA (ENSSCUG00000014827.1)". Lineage: Eukaryota; Metazoa; Chordata; Aves; Struthioniformes; Struthionidae. The record is from RNAcentral.
CCUGGGACCAGUCCAGCACCUGAUCUCAGACGAUUUAUGGCCCUGGAGCGCAGCCACAUUCUCAUGGUUACAAAGGCGUGUGGACGCGGCCUGGCGCUGCCCUGUCCUCCCAGAGCAUGCGGGUGAGGAAGCGCAGGAGGUGUGAAAUGCUGGUGCUUGCAGUUGUGGUAACUAUUGAUCACCACCUCCGUGGGUUAUUGAAGGCAAAAGAUACAGUGAGAACACGACUGAGCUCCCUCACUUGCCCAAAAUCCACACGUGCCUCCAGGCCCAGAAGCCAAUACUCAUAACCUGCUGCAUUGGACACUAAGCAAAGAACUAAAUGAUACCUACUCCAAAGAGUAUUCACUGUAAGAAAUGACAGAUGGAUAUGGGCAGGACAGUGGCACCACAAGCAGGUAGAGCCAACUGUAACAAAUAUACAUGCUCACUUGUGCUUUCUUCUAGUAGCGUAUUUGCAUU